This 229-nucleotide ribosomal RNA is filed under the name uncultured bacterium. RNAcentral describes it as "partial 16S ribosomal RNA". It matches the Rfam family "Bacterial small subunit ribosomal RNA", at positions 568 to 796 of the family's 1533-position model. The record is from RNAcentral.
UCCGUAGGCGGGCGUCUAAGUCAGUGGUGAAAUCUUACAGCUCAACUGUAAAAUUGCCAUUGAUACUGGAUGUCUUGAAUUAGUGUGAAGUGGUUAGAAUGUGUAGUGUAGCGGUGAAAUGCAUAGAUAUUACACAGAAUACCAAUUGCGAAGGCAGAUCACUAACACUAUAUUGACGCUGAGGGACGAAAGCGUGGGGCACAAACCGGAUUAGAUACCCGAGUAGUCC